RNAcentral lists this ribosomal RNA (254 nucleotides) under uncultured bacterium. Its description in RNAcentral is "partial 16S ribosomal RNA". It matches the Rfam family "Bacterial small subunit ribosomal RNA", at positions 524 to 776 of the family's 1533-position model. The record is from RNAcentral.
CACGUAGGGGGCAAGCGUUGUCCGGAUUUAUUGGGCGUAAAGAGCUCGUAGGCGGUUCGGUAAGUCGGGUGUGAAACCUCCAGGCUCAACCUGGAGACGCCACCCGAUACUGCUGUGACUAGAGUCCGGUAGGGGAGCGUGGAAUUCCUGGUGUAGCGGUGAAAUGCGCAGAUAUCAGGAGGAACACCGAUGGCGAAGGCAGCUCGCUGGGACGGUACUGACGCUGAGGAGCGAAAGCGUGGGGAGCGAACAGG